RNAcentral lists this ribosomal RNA (498 nucleotides) under uncultured bacterium. RNAcentral's name for it is "partial 16S ribosomal RNA". It matches the Rfam family "Bacterial small subunit ribosomal RNA", at positions 30 to 523 of the family's 1533-position model. The record is from RNAcentral.
AUUGAACGCUGGCGGCAUGCCUUACACAUGCAAGUCGAACGGUAACAGGUCUUCGGAUGCUGACGAGUGGCGAACGGGUGAGUAAUACAUCGGAACGUGCCCGAUCGUGGGGGAUAACGAAGCGAAAGCUUUGCUAAUACCGCAUACGAUCUACGGAUGAAAGCAGGGGACCGCAAGGCCUUGCGCGAACGGAGCGGCCGAUGGGAGAUUAGGUAGUUGGUGGGAUAAAAGCUUACCAAGCCGACGAUCUGUAGCUGGUCUGAGAGGACGACCAGCCACACUGGGACUGGGACACGGCCCAGACUCCUACGGGAGGCAGCAGUGGGGAAUUUUGGACAAUGGGCGAAAGCCUGAUCCAGCCAUGCCGCGUGCAGGAUGAAGGCCUUCGGGUUGUAAACUGCUUUUGUACGGAACGAAAAGACUCUGGUUAAUACCUGGGGUCCAUGACGGUACCGUAAGAAUAAGCGCCGGCUAACUACGUGCCAGCCGCCGCCGUAA